CCUACGGGAGGCAGCAGUGGGGAAUAUUGGACAAUGGGCGAAAGCCUGAUCCAGCAAUACCGCGUGUGUGAAGAAGGCCUGAGGGUUGUAAAGCACUUUCAAUUGGGAGGAAAACAGGCAGGUUAAUAUCCUGUCUCUUGACAUUACCUUUAGAAGAAGCACCGGCUAACUCCGUGCCAGCAGCCGCGGUAAUACGGAGGGUGCAAGCGUUAAUCGGAAUUACUGGGCGUAAAGCGUUCGUAGGCGGUUAUUUAAGUUAGAUGUGAAAGCCCCGGGCUUAACCUGGGAACUGCAUUUAAAACUGGGUAACUAGAGUUUAGGAGAGGGAAGUGGAAUUUCAGGUGUAGCAGUGAAAUGCGUAGAGAUCUGAAGGAACACCAGUGGCGAAGGCGACUUCCUGGACUAAAACUGACGCUGAGGAACGAAAGCGUGGGUAGCAAACGGGAUUAGAUACCCCGGUAGUCCACGCCGUAAACGAUGUCAACUAGCCGUUGGGCCUAUAUACAGGCUUAGUGGCGGAGCUAACGUAUUAAGUUGACCGCCUGGGGAGUACGGCCGCAAGGUUAAAACUCAAAGGARUUGACGGGG
This 588-nucleotide ribosomal RNA is filed under the name uncultured bacterium. RNAcentral's name for it is "bacterial SSU rRNA". It matches the Rfam family "Bacterial small subunit ribosomal RNA", at positions 338 to 918 of the family's 1533-position model. The record is from RNAcentral.